Molecule: long non-coding RNA, 877 nt
Organism: Poecilia reticulata (guppy)
Lineage: Eukaryota; Metazoa; Chordata; Actinopteri; Cyprinodontiformes; Poeciliidae
Source: RefSeq, a predicted model, not a curated record
GGAGCUUGGUAAGGUCCAUUAGCGGCUGGCACUGGAGGAGAGGAAUCUCCUUCACCGAUACCUAGCGUUAGCUAGCUUAGUUCGAGCUGCAUCGGCGGCAUUCGGUCAAGCUCGGUGAAACUACGUCACUGGAUUUUGGAUCUCAGAUAGAUGAUUGCUUCUUCUUAUUCUUUCUUUUUUUUCUGUCUGCCUCUCUACUCCUGUUAGUGGUAAUCAGCGUCAGUUGCCUACCCAGAAGCUACCGGCGUGUUUCCAGCGUGCUACGUGUCUUACAACCGGAAGUACGAGCUAUAUCAUUAGCUCGAAUGCGCAUGUGCUGAAGAUUCCAGCAUGUUCCGAUUAUUUUUCCGCUUUUUUCUCUGUUGUUGUGCGGUUUUUAAAUAUUUUACCUCAUGACCACAAGUGACGCGACACCUGGAUCAGAAACACAYRAAGAUCCAGAUGGACGGAUUUGAAGUGCACAAUCACUGACAUCUCAGACUGGAUCCCCAGGCCCGGUUCUGGGUCCGGCAGUGCAACAGGCAUCCUGCUGCAGGCGGGUCCAACCCAAACAGARCAGCUUCAUGCAGAAGAGACAGGCUUCAGUUAGCCACUGCAGCGUUCGAUGCCAAAUGGGAACUCUGAGAUUAUUUAAAGGAAACAAGAAAUGACUAGAAGAAUGUUUGCAGCAUGAAGACAACCCUGGUCCUCCCAAAAGGGAUAGUUCCUCUUUGAAAAUUGUACUUAAAUACAGCYUAUGAGAGUCCAAGUUGUAAAAUAUUUCUUAGCUGAAUACAUAAAAUAACACGUACAAGUCUGCCACCGCUUUCAUCACUCCAGUCUUCAACGCGAACAGAGCUCUUGUGCUGUGUAGCAUGAGACGAAGUAAUUUAAAGAC